RNAcentral lists this ribosomal RNA (168 nucleotides) under uncultured rumen bacterium. Its description in RNAcentral is "partial 16S ribosomal RNA". It matches the Rfam family "Bacterial small subunit ribosomal RNA", at positions 340 to 524 of the family's 1533-position model. The record is from RNAcentral.
UACGGGAGGCAGCAGUGGGGAAUAUUGCACAAUGGGCGCAAGCCUGAUGCAGCAACGCCGCGUUAAGGAUGAAGGUUUUCGGAUCGUAAACUUAUGUCUUCAGGGACGAAAUUUGACGGUACCUGAGGAGGAAGCCACGGCUAACUACGUGCCAGCAGCCGCGGUAAU